ACUCUUGCGCAGUGGCAGUAUCAUAGCCUAUGAGGUUCAACUGAGGCGUGAUUAUUGCUAAUUGAAAACUUUACCCAAUACCCCGCCAUGACGACUUGAAAUAUAGUCGGCUUUGGCAAUUUUUGACAGUGUCUAGGGAGACUGAGAUAACAGUUAAAUGACA
Molecule: small nuclear RNA, 163 nt
Organism: Leptobrachium leishanense (Leishan spiny toad)
Lineage: Eukaryota; Metazoa; Chordata; Amphibia; Anura; Megophryidae
Gene: U4
Rfam family: U4 spliceosomal RNA
About the family: U4 small nuclear RNA (U4 snRNA) is a component of the major U2-dependent spliceosome. The structure of U4 snRNA from yeast and human has been reported.
Source: Ensembl